GUCGAGGGGUAUAGGUUUUCGGACCUAGAGACCGGCGCACGGGUGCGUAACGCGUAUGCAAUCUACCUUUUACAGAGGGAUAGCCCAGAGAAAUUUGGAUUAAUACCUCAUAGUAUUAUUGAAUGGCAUCAUUUAAUAAUUAAAGUCACAACGGUAAAAGAUGAGCAUGCGUCCCAUUAGCUUGUUGGUAAGGUAACGGCUUACCAAGGCAACGAUGGGUAGGGGUCCUGAGAGGGAGAUCCCCCACACUGGUACUGAGACACGGACCAGACUCCUACGGGAGGCGGCAGUGAGGAAUAUUGGUCAAUGGGCGCAAGCCUGAACCAGCCAUGCCGCGUGCAGGAUGACGGUCCUAUGGAUUGUAAACUGCUUUUGUACAGGAAGAAACAGCUCUACGUGUAGAACCUUGACGGUACUGUAAGAAUAAGGAUCGGCUAACUCCGUGCCAGCAGCCGCGGUAAUACGGAGGAUCCAAGCGUUAUCCGGAAUCAUUGGGUUUAAAGGGUCCGUAGGCGGUUUUGUAAGUCAGUGGUGAAAGCCCAUCGCUCAACGGUGGAACGGCCAUUGAUACUGCAAGACUUGAAUUAUUGGGAAGUAACUAGAAUAUGUAGUGUAGCGGUGAAAUGCUUAGAGAUUACAUGGAAUACCAAUUGCGAAGGCAGGUUACUACCAAUAUAUUGACGCUGAUGGACGAAAGCGUGGGGAGCGAACAGGAUUAGAUACCCUGGUAGUCCACGCCGUAAACGAUGGAUACUAGCUGUUC
This 763-nucleotide ribosomal RNA is filed under the name uncultured bacterium. RNAcentral describes it as "bacterial SSU rRNA". It matches the Rfam family "Bacterial small subunit ribosomal RNA", at positions 61 to 825 of the family's 1533-position model. The record is from RNAcentral.